CCUACGGGAGGCAGCAGUGAGGAAUAUUGGUCAAUGGACGCAAGUCUGAACCAGCCAUGCCGCGUGCAGGAAGACGGCUCUAUGAGUUGUAAACUGCUUUUGUACGAGAGUAAACGCAGAUACGCGUAUCUGUCUGACAGUAUCGUACGAAUAAGGAUCGGCUAACUCCGUGCCAGCAGCCGCGGUAAUACGGAGGAUUCAAGCGUUAUCCGGAUUUAUUGGGUUUAAAGGGUGCGUAGGCGGUCGGAUAAGUUAGAGGUGAAAUACCGAGGCUCAACCUCGGAAUUGCCUCUGAUACUGUUCGGCUAGAGAGUAGUUGCGGUAGGCGGAAUGUAUGGUGUAGCGGUGAAAUGCUUAGAGAUCAUACAGAACACCGAUUGCGAAGGCAGCUUACCAAGCUACUUCUGACGUUGAGGCACGAAAGCGUGGGGAGCAAACAGGAUUAGAUACCCGGGUAGUC
This 460-nucleotide ribosomal RNA is filed under the name uncultured bacterium. RNAcentral describes it as "partial 16S ribosomal RNA". It matches the Rfam family "Bacterial small subunit ribosomal RNA", at positions 338 to 795 of the family's 1533-position model. The record is from RNAcentral.